This 526-nucleotide long non-coding RNA is filed under the name Nicotiana benthamiana. Its description in RNAcentral is "long non-coding RNA (NBEN_LNC037296)". Lineage: Eukaryota; Viridiplantae; Streptophyta; Magnoliopsida; Solanales; Solanaceae. The record is from RNAcentral.
CUGUGUUGAGUUCCCAAAUACAAAUGCACGUGAUGCAAACAACCGUUCCUACAAGGGAUCCGAAAUGAGGCUAUGCUAUUCUAUGUUUAAAACCUGGGUGUAUUAUUCUAGACAUAGCUUACCCUAGCGGAUGACUCGAGCUGAGGGGGGGAAGCGUACCGGGAAUACAAAAGUUUCAUCGGCUUUCCAACUUGUGCGAACCUCGUUAUAAAAUUGAAUAAGACUCUAAACAGAAGAGAAGUCACACGAAGUGCACACUCCCGAGAUGAUUUAGAAGACUCAUAGAGAAGAAGGGUUUCGUAGCAGUUUAUAUACAGUUCACAAAAUAUCAAAGCGCUAAAAGCGGCAUUUCGCACAUUAGGCCCAAACAUUUACAAAAAUCAGAUAAUAAAUAAGGUCAAUCAUAACAUCUAUUCUAAACUCAAAUUCUUAAAUCCUGAACCAAAGUUUUGGGUUUGGAUCCCCAGCGGAAUCGCCAGAGCUGCCAUACGUCCUUUUUACAAACCACCUGAACGUUAUAUAUAAG